RNAcentral lists this ribosomal RNA (801 nucleotides) under uncultured bacterium. Its description in RNAcentral is "bacterial SSU rRNA". It matches the Rfam family "Bacterial small subunit ribosomal RNA", at positions 79 to 898 of the family's 1533-position model. The record is from RNAcentral.
UAUAAUUGUCAGCUAAGUGGCGCACGGGUGAGUAAUGUAUAGAUAACCUGCCCUUAAGAAAGGAAUAACAGUUGGAAACGACUGCUAAUGCCCUAUAUGCCUUUAACACAUAAGUAUGCAAGGGAAACGCUUUAGUGCUUAAGGAUGGGUCUGUAUGGUAUCAGCUUGUUGGUGAGGUAAUGGCUCACCAAGGCUAUGACGCCUAACUGGUUUGAGAGGAUGAUCAGUCACACUGGAACUGAGACACGGUCCAGACUCCUACGGGAGGCAGCAGUGGGGAAUAUUGCACAAUGGACGAAAGUCUGAUGCAGCAACGCCGCGUGGAGGAUGACACAUUUCGGUGCGUAAACUCCUUUUAUAUAGGAAGAUAAUGACGGUACUAUAUGAAUAAGCACCGGCUAACUCCGUGCCAGCAGCCGCGGUAAUACGGAGGGUGCAAGCGUUACUCGGAAUCACUGGGCGUAAAGAGCGUGUAGGCGGGUAUAUAAGUCAGAAGUGAAAUCCAAUAGCUCAACUAUUGAACUGCUUUUGAAACUGUAUACCUAGAAUGUGGGAGAGGUAGAUGGAAUUUCUGGUGUAGGGGUAAAAUCCGUAGAGAUCAGAAGGAAUACCGAUUGCGAAGGCGAUCUACUGGAACAUUAUUGACGCUGAGACGCGAAAGCGUGGGGAGCAAACAGGAUUAGAUACCCUGGUAGUCCACGCCCUAAACGAUGUACACUAGUUGUUGUGAGGCUCGACCUUGCAGUAAUGCAGUUAACACAUUAAGUGUACCGCCUGGGGGAGUACGGUCGCAAGAUUAAA